GACUCCGUAGCUCAGUCGGUAGAGCAACUGACUUUUAAUCAGUGGGUCGAGCGUUCGAAUCGCUUCGGGGUCACCA
This 76-nucleotide transfer RNA is filed under the name Bacilli bacterium. Its description in RNAcentral is "tRNA-Lys". It matches the Rfam family "tRNA". Rfam says of the family: Transfer RNA (tRNA) molecules are approximately 80 nucleotides in length. Their secondary structure includes four short double-helical elements and three loops (D, anti-codon, and T loops). Further hydrogen bonds mediate the characteristic L-shaped molecular structure. tRNAs have two regions of fundamental functional importance: the anti-codon, which is responsible for specific mRNA codon recognition, and the 3' end, to which the tRNAs corresponding amino acid is attached (by aminoacyl-tRNA synthetases). tRNAs cope with the degeneracy of the genetic code in two manners: having more than one tRNA (with a specific anti-codon) for a particular amino acid; and 'wobble' base-pairing, i.e. permitting non-standard base-pairing at the 3rd anti-codon position. RNAcentral also lists the same sequence under 1 other name. Lineage: Bacteria; Bacillati; Bacillota; Bacilli. The record is from RNAcentral.